AUGAACUAUAUUCAACAGAAGGGUCAUUGCGAAAGAUUGAGGACCAGAAGAUACUUUGAAAGCUGGCUCAGAACCGAGAAAAGGCUACGAAAAGCUGAUUAACGAAGAAAGUUUUAUUCUUGCUUUCAUACAACACUUUGUUUUAUGUUUUGCAUCAUUUUGUUUAAUGGUUUGCUUAAACAAAUUGCGAUAAUGAUGCAGACAUAUGUACAAUAGCUGGAAAAUAGUCGACUC
RNAcentral lists this long non-coding RNA (234 nucleotides) under Helianthus annuus (common sunflower). RNAcentral's name for it is "hypothetical non coding rna". The record is from RNAcentral. Lineage: Eukaryota; Viridiplantae; Streptophyta; Magnoliopsida; Asterales; Asteraceae.